GCUCAGUUGGUAAAGCACAAAGCUCCUAACCUUGUGGACGUGGGUUUAAGCCCCAU
Non-coding RNA from Triticum urartu, 56 nucleotides. The record is from Rfam. Lineage: Eukaryota; Viridiplantae; Streptophyta; Magnoliopsida; Poales; Poaceae.